Molecule: ribosomal RNA, 479 nt
Filed under: uncultured anaerobic ammonium-oxidizing bacterium
Lineage: Bacteria
Description: bacterial SSU rRNA
Rfam family: Bacterial small subunit ribosomal RNA
Source: RNAcentral
UUUCGCAAUGCCCGAAAGGGUGACGAAGCGACGCCGCGUGCGGGAAGAAGGCCUUCGGGUUGUAAACCGCUGUCGGGAGUUAAGAAAUGUAAGGAUGUUAAUAGCAUCUUUGCUUGACUAAGGCUCCGGAGGAAGCCACGGCUAACUCUGUGCCAGCAGCCGCGGUAAUACAGAGGCGGCAAGCGUUGUUCGGAAUUAUUGGGCGUAAAGAGCACGUAGGCGGCUAUGUAAGUCGGUUGUGAAAGCCUUCCGCUCAACGGGAGAACAGCAUCCGAUACUGCAUGGCUUGAGUGCAGGAGGGGAGAGUGGAACUUCUGGUGGAGCGGUGAAAUGCGUAGAUAUCAGAAGGAACGCCGGCGGCGAAAGCGGCUCUCUGGCCCAUAACUGACGCUGAGUGUGCGAAAGCUAGGGGAGCAAACGGGAUUAGAUACCCCGGUAGUCCCAGCCGUAAACGAUGGGCACUAAGUAGAGGGGUUUUA